AAAUUAUAUAAUAAUUUCUAUUAAAGCUAUUCAUCCAAUCAAUAUAUGUUCAAAUUUUGAAAACAAACUACAAAGAGACAAACAAAUAUAGACAGACAGAUAAAAAAUAAAGACAGAAAAGAUGAGGAGAUACUGUUCAUGAUAAAAUCGAAAAACGAAAAUCCAGUAAACAAAAAAUUUGUCGCCCGUCAAACUGAGAAUAAGAUCAAAUAAAUCACAUAUGAUGCCAAAUGACUUUUUACUCUAAGAUUAAUUGUCAAACUAAUCUUAACAGUUUGGUCUUAUACUGUACUGAUAUCCAACUGUCCUAUGUUAUAGGGGAGGGAUAAUAAUACACAAACAAAUUUAAUCCCCGUCACAUUCAUAUAAAGUAUCAUAUCAAGUCAAUGCAUUGUAAUUCAGUGAUGUGGUCGGAUGAUAUCUGUAGUAUUUGUUUUUCGUGAAUUCUUUGUUAUAAAUCAGGUCGUUGAUAUUUGUUUUUUUUUCAAUUGUGUCUCAUUUUUUCAUAUCGAAGCUAUUUAUAAUUUUUUCAUAUCGAAACUAUUUAUAAUUUUUUCAUAUCGAAACUAUUUAUAAUUUACUAUACGAUAAACGGAUUUUGCUCGUUGUUGGCGGGAUGCAACUUAUAAUUGCUUUAAUCCACCUCAUUUGAACUCAAUUAGAUAGUUGUCUCAUUACCUUGACAAUCAUACCACAUUCCCU
Molecule: long non-coding RNA, 702 nt
Filed under: Mytilus galloprovincialis (Mediterranean mussel)
Lineage: Eukaryota; Metazoa; Mollusca; Bivalvia; Mytilida; Mytilidae
Source: RNAcentral